RNAcentral lists this ribosomal RNA (440 nucleotides) under uncultured bacterium. Its description in RNAcentral is "partial 16S ribosomal RNA". It matches the Rfam family "Bacterial small subunit ribosomal RNA", at positions 338 to 795 of the family's 1533-position model. The record is from RNAcentral.
CCUACGGGUGGCUGCAGUGGGGAAUAUUGCACAAUGGGGGAAACCCUGAUCCAGCGACGCCGCGUGAGCGAUGAAGUAUCUCGGUAUUUAAAGCUCUAUUAGCAGGGGAGAAAAUGACGGUACCUGACUAAGAAGCCCCGGCUAACUACGUGCCAGCAGCCGCGGUAAUACGUAGGGGGCAAGCGUAAUCCGGAUUUACUGGGUGUAAAGGGAGCGUAGACGGCGGUGCAAGCCAGAUGUGAAAGCCCGGGGCUCAACCCCGGGACUGCAUUUGAAACUGUGCUGCUAGAGUGUCGGAGAGGCAGGCGGAAUGCAUAGUGUAGCGGUGAAAUGCGUAGAUAUUAGGCGGAACACCAGUGGCGAAGGCAGCCUGCUGGACGAUGUCUGACGUUGAGGCACGAAAGCGUGGGGAGCAAACAGGAUUAGAUACCCGAGUAGUC